CGUUGCUCAACCACCUUCAUCUCUCUAUGUAUGUGUCGAGCCACACGCAUGCACGCACGCACGCGCACACACUAAGAUUUCAUAUAACUCACGGACCCCACCGAUAGAGCGUCUGCGCAAGCGGCGCUGGAGGACGGCGAUGGACAACGGGGAUCUCCUCCGCUAUGCAUUGCAGAGGCGCCAGUACCUCGUCGCCAUAUGGCUCACUCUUCAGCAGCGCUGGUUCGUCACGUCUUUCAACGCCUCGACGCGGGUCGUGGGCUGGGCCGUCGUUGCCUUGGGGGUGGCCCUCGUCACCUUCACUGUGGUGACGUUCGCGCGCAACGUGGUACCGGUGCUCACCACGCCAGGCUCCCUCCCGUACGUCCUUCUGCAGUGUCUCCUUGUGUUUGUCUCCUUCAACAUCUAUGUCAACUACUUCUGCUCUACAACAUUUUCGAGGCACAUCGGCCAAGCACCGCCGGAGUACACGUAUCGGGGCCCGUACACCACCAACGCGGCCGGUGCUCCCUACGACAACUCCGACUCCUCGGAAGACAGCGGCGAUGACGGCGUGAAAGAAGGCGAUGGUAGCCCACGGGUGCAUGGCCGCACGCAGGAGAUAAGCUCGAUGGCUGCUGGUGUCCCGUUAGCGCAGCACGCGUUUUCCUCUCCACGCAGGGGCGCGGAGGCACCUCGAGGCCCCUUCGACACUACUCUCAACGACCCCGCGUCGCCUCGAGUGCCUAUGCCGGCGGCUACGGGAAUGGUGGCACCGUCGCAACCGCCGCUCCCGACGACGAACUUUCUCGGCAUUCGCGUUGUGCGUGUCUUUAGGGGCGAUGAGAGCGCGGACGGAGACGCUGCUGCGACGGUGCCGCUACACCAGCAAAAAGCCGGCGUUGCCUGUCGGAGAGGUAGCAUGCGCUCGCUACUCGCUUGUUUCACCCGUCUUACCCGGAGUGCUAGUGCUGUGUUCCAUGCACGAGGGUGCCACCGGUGCCACCUGCCGAAUCGGCCAAAGACAGUGGCAUCGCUGGACACACUUCUCGAGCUCGAGGCGAUUGCUGAAACCGCUGAGCGCUGCCCACCGCGGCUGCGAGUCGCUCGCUUGCUGGACGUGCCGCGGCGCUACUGCCACCACUGCCGCCGCCUGAAGGCGCCGCGCGAGCACCACUGCGCCAUAUGCAACGAGUGUGUCACGAAGAUGGACCAUCAUUGCCCGUGGAUCAACAACUGCGUCGACGCGGAGAACCAGCGCUACUUCCUGCUGUUUGUGUGGUGGCUGUGGGUGGGCACCCUGCUGGCCACCGGCUUCCUGGGCUACGGCUACAUACGCGAAAGCAGCAACGCUCGAAGGUUUAGGCGACUGCACGCGCAGUGGAGGACGUCUCCAAACAAGGCCGCCGUGGAGGCGAAACUGCGUGCACUGCGCAUGCCCUACGGCCCCGCCGGUGUGCUGCUCACGUCGUAUCUGACAACGCUGACAUUCGGCGUGACGGUCAUCGUCUGUCUCUGCAUGUCACUCUUCCUGUACGUCAACAAGCGCCUGGUGCUGGAGAACACAACGGCGAUCGAGAGCAUCUACGUGCAUGAGAAGCGCACGCACGUAUACGCGUCCACCAACUUUACGUACCGCAACCCAUACGACUUGGGGAAGUGGCUGAACUUCGUCGAUCUUUUCUCCACCGCGCGUGACCCGCUUGUGAAGAUGAUGCUGAAGGCUGAGGCGGAGGCGGACAGGAGAGCCACAGCGGCCCGCCCUGGCGGCUGUGCAGACGACCGUGGAUGGCGCUGGGCGGCUGUCGCCAGGCGUUUGGCGCAACGCGUGGCAAUCGUUGUGUGGCUCACCGGCUUUCCAACGUUCCGACCAAUCUACGGGGAUGGGGUGCACUACCCCACCUUUGACUUGCUUGCGUCCGGUGAGCUGCACCCGCUACUGUCGGAGUAGGCCAAGCAGGGUCUUAGUAGCGUGGAUGCACGGCGGGGCGUAAAAAAGGCGGAGAGCGCCGCAGUGGUGUCCGUCUAUUUGCCUCCCCCCCUUCCCUUUCUCCGUCGCUAAUCCGCCACCGCAGCCCCCCCUCCCCCCCCAAUGCGCCUCUGGUGGUGGCGAGGGCGAUGAAAGGGGCAUGGUGCCAGUGAUUCCAUCUACCUUGCUGUCGCAGAGUCGAAACUACGCAUCAAACCCAUGUGGAUGUGGAGGCAGGAAGCCACAGGAAAGAAGUGCGUGCUGUCCCCCUAAAAGGUCGCGAUCGCGUGUGCGGAGGAGCGCUUUGGCCGCGGGGGAGGGGUUUUCGCUGAGCGGCCGCCGCAACUUCAUAUUAUGUAGCGUCUUCAUGAAGACCCCUCCCCCCUUCAUGUGGUUGCGCGCCCGCUGCGUUGCUGGAACGCGCUCCGAUGCGCACACGGGCACCAGUCCUUCUCUCUCGCUGUUCCCCUGCUUGGGGUCCCUCCUGAUGACAAGUGGGGGGAGCGCACUGCUCAGUGCGUGGCAUCAGAGGGUCCGGCCCCACCGCACCCCCCCCCCUCCCCUCCACUCCCGACUCUCUGCGUGUGUGAGGGAGGAAGCCCAGCAGCCCCCACCUCACCCUCCCCAAUGCCGAGCCACUCCUGGUGGUGGUGGCAGGGCCCGGUGCCCGCGACGCAGCGAGGUCAGAGCAAUUCAGCGCUACUGAUGUUGUCGGUCAAGGCCCUGCGUGGCGCUGCGUCGACGCCACCUGCGCAGCGGGCAGAGUGCGAGGCAGGGGCCGUGCUCUCAGGGGACUGCAUCGGCGCCUUGCUGGACCGGCGUGUGUCGACGGCUGCCAUGGUCCCACGCGAGGUGGGGCCUGUGUGACAGGGCCGUGGGUGGCAGCGUGGGGCGUUGGACCCCGCGUUGUGUGGCAGAGAAGCGGACUCGUGAUUGCGAAACAAAAACGCAACUCUCUUUCACCCUCGCAGCUACGGCGUCUGUCUGCCCUUGUGUGUGCCCCAUCAUGCUCGUGCGCCUACGAAGUUUCCUUCUGUCUUGCUGGGUCUCUCUCUUGCUGCCUCCGAAACUGCUCAACGCCCCCUCCCCCGAUACACGCACACAGAGAGAGAGCGAGCGAGGCUGUAGACAUUCUCAAAAGCCGUCGUUCGCAGCUGUUGGUUGUGGCGUGUGGGAUAGUGCGGCUGCGCCGACGGUCCACUGCUCGUCCUCUCUCUCCCGCCCUUGUGGCCUGCCGGUGUCAACUGCGCUUGGUGACUUGUUCGUUCGCCUUGCGUUGUCCCCACCUCGUACUCGGCAUACUCGGGUUCACUUUGGCUCUGCCGAGUGCACCUCUUCGUUUCAUUGCCGAGCCAUCCUUUCGCCUGCCCAUCUCGCCCUCCCCUACUUCUCUGGUGCGUGCCGUUGCUCUUGCUCUACAUCGUUGGCUCCGCCACCGUCUUUGUCGGGUGUUUACGCGUGUGCCUGCACGCUCGCUCUCUCACGCCGGCGAAG
RNAcentral lists this unclassified non-coding RNA (3442 nucleotides) under Leishmania donovani. RNAcentral's name for it is "gene:LdHU3.21.1950(CDS-product:palmitoyl_acyltran sferase_3_putative)". Lineage: Eukaryota; Euglenozoa; Kinetoplastea; Trypanosomatida; Trypanosomatidae. The record is from RNAcentral.